Molecule: long non-coding RNA, 261 nt
Organism: Cervus elaphus (red deer)
Lineage: Eukaryota; Metazoa; Chordata; Mammalia; Artiodactyla; Cervidae
Exons: 3
Source: RefSeq, a predicted model, not a curated record
CCCAUGGAGUAAGAAAUGGCAACUCACUUCAGUAUUCUUGCCUGGGAAAUCCCAUGGACAGAGGAGGGCCAGGCUACAAUCCAGGGGGUCACAAAGAGUCAGACAUGACUUAGCAACUAAAUAACGAAAGGACACGACUUAAGUUGGAGGAAAAUUGCUUUGCGAUGUUUGUUGGUUUCCGCUGCACAGCAGUGUGAAUCAGCUGGCUUUCCAGAUGGCACUAGUGGUAAAGAACCUGCCUGCCACUGCAGGAGACAGAAG